GGCUCUCUGUUUACAUAAAUAUAGGGAGUCGAGCCUGCCCAGUGAAUUUUUAAACGGCCGCGGUACUCUGACCGUGCAAAGGUAGCAUAAUCAUUUGCCUUAUAAUUGAAGGCUAGUAUGAAUGGUUUGACGAGAGCAACACUGUCUCCUUUUUAUUUUCAAGAACUUAACUUUUAGGUGAAGAGGCCUAAAUUUUAUUGAAGGACAAGAAGACCCUAUCGAGCUUAAAAGACAUUAUAGAAGUUUAUAUAUUUCUAAAUAAAUUUUCUAUUGAGCUUUUUAGUUGGGGCGACUAAGGAACAAAAAAAGCUUCUUGCUAAUAAUAGACAGUCAUGUUUAGAUCCGAUAAUAAUCGAUCAAAGAAAUUAGUUACCGUAGGGAUAACAGCAUAAUCUCUCUUGAGAGACCUAAUCGAAAGAGGGGGUUGUGACCUCGAUGUUGGACUAGAAUAUCCUAAAGAUGCAGAAGUCUUUGAAGGUCGGUCUGUUCGACCGUUAAAAUUCU
Molecule: ribosomal RNA, 504 nt
Filed under: Juga plicifera
Lineage: Eukaryota; Metazoa; Mollusca; Gastropoda; Semisulcospiridae
Description: partial large subunit ribosomal RNA
Rfam family: Bacterial large subunit ribosomal RNA
Source: RNAcentral